CGCCCGUCGCUCCUACCGAUUGGGUGUGCUGGUGAAGUGUUCGGAUUGGCUGCCUUGGGUGGUUUCCGCCCUCGGUUGCCGAGAAGUGCAUUAAACCCUCCCACCUAGAGGAAGGAGAAGUCGUAACAAGGUUUCC
Molecule: ribosomal RNA, 136 nt
Filed under: uncultured Trebouxiophyceae
Lineage: Eukaryota; Viridiplantae; Chlorophyta; Trebouxiophyceae
Description: partial small subunit ribosomal RNA
Rfam family: Eukaryotic small subunit ribosomal RNA
Source: RNAcentral